CCUCGGCGGGGCUGAAUGAUCAAAACUGGUGGUGAGAAUUUUUCCGGGCCGUUUCUAGGCAGCCCUCCCCCUCCACCAGCUCGGGCCCCCCCUUCCUCCUUCUCCUCCCUUUUCCUCCCCCCUCCUCCAGCGUCUGGGCUGAGUGAUCAAAAUAGAGGAAGAUGGUUGUCGCCGCAAUCCAGGGCUUUGCAAGGCGCGGUUUAAUGGGCCGGCUGUCAGCUUCCUGCUCGCAGGAGGAGGUGACAAGCCGAGCGAGCCGGGAAGGGCCUGGGGCCCGGCGGACUGCACCCAGUGCCCACGCCCCGGCCCCCCACCUCCCCUGGGUGCGCCUCUAGAACGCGCGGUGGAGACGCCAAAACAGACAAGGGCUGCUUUUUCUUUUUUCUUUCUUUUUUUUUUUUUUUCCUUUUCCUUCCUUUUAAAACAAAGCAGCGAUUCAUUCCCUCUCCCCCAGGAGCGCAGUCGGGUGGGAUGGGCAGGCGAGAAGGCCGUUUUCCUUGUCCCGGCCUGCGGGUCCCUCCCUGAAAAGCAGUGUCAGAUGGUUACUGAUUAAUAUUUUGGAGAGGCCGCGGCGGCGGGCAGCGGGAUAAAUUUGAGGAAAAAAGUUCGGCCUCAGGAGGGCAGUUUCAAGUUGCCCUUCUUGGAUCCUCCUGCGCUGGUUUCUAGGCUGCCCUCUUUUGGAAGCUGGAGCUCCGCGGGGGAGGAGGGAGGAGUGAAGAGAGAAAGGAACGAAAAUAGCCGGAGCCAAGGGGAACGAGCUGCGGUGUCCGCGCUUGGAGCUGGGCGUGCGGGUCUCAGUGGCAACCGGGGCGGCGGGAGAUGCCCGGUGCAGCCCCAGGACGGCCAGAAGCAAAGACCGAAAGGAGAGGGGGGUUAGAGAAAGGAGGUAUUGUGUCUGUGUGCCUUAGGGGAGGGGGGCGACUGCAGAAAUAAAAUAAAUGCAGUUGAGCUGCGCGGGACUGCUGGAAGCCAGAGCAAGGGAAGGGGCCGUGUGUGGGGGCGCCCAGCGCCCUUGAGUCUUAUCCUGAGGCCUUUGUGGGUUCCCAGUAAGCCCUCCCACGCCCGAGUCCCCAGCGCUUCCCCCGCCCCCAUCGCCCUCCAAUAUUAGGAGUGCAGGCCCUGAUUCCCCCACCCUCUUAGCCCGCCCGGGAUCUGGAAUAGUUUUAUUUUAAUAUAGCUCAAGAAAAAAAUAUGUAUCUUGCGAGAGUUGGGGUGGGGAAUAAUACAAAAGACUUGCGGGGUGGAAAAAAACAAAGGCCUAUUUUUAUAAAUGUUUAAUGUUUUCACCCCUGGAUGCUCCAAGACGCCGUAAUUGUGACGGCGGGGUAUGUGUGCCAUAAAUCAUUUAGUUGCUAAUAAAAAUUCUGCCUGUUUGCCCUGGA
This is a non-coding RNA of Marmota flaviventris (yellow-bellied marmot), 1382 nucleotides long. The record is from RefSeq and is a predicted model, not a curated record. NCBI's taxonomy places the organism in Eukaryota, Metazoa, Chordata, Mammalia, Rodentia, Sciuridae.